Molecule: non-coding RNA, 561 nt
Organism: Eptesicus fuscus (big brown bat)
Lineage: Eukaryota; Metazoa; Chordata; Mammalia; Chiroptera; Vespertilionidae
Source: the annotation of a RefSeq genome assembly
UUCCAUUCCCUGAUCAGGACUGAACACAGAUCACUCACCAUGGAAUUGAGGAUCAGCUGGGUUUUCCUUGUUGCUAUUUUGAAAGGUGUCCAGUGUGAGGUGAAGCUGGUGGAGUCUGGGGGAGGAUUGGUGCAGCCUGGAGGGUCUCUGAGACUCUCCUGUGCAGCCUCUGGAUUCACCUUCAGUAGCUCUGGCAUGAACUGGGUCCGCCAGGCUCCAGGGAAGGGACUCCAGUGGGUGGCAAUUAUAUGGUAUGAUGGAAGUCAAAAAUACUAUGCAGAAACUGUGAAGGGCCGAUUCACCAUCUCCAGAGACAAUUCCAAGAACAUGUUGUAUCUGGAAAUGAACAACCUGAGAGCCGAGGACACAGCUGUGUAUUACUGUGCUAGGAACACAGUGAGGGGAAGUCAGUCUGAGCCCAUACAAAAACCUCCCUGCAGCAGAGGCUGUGACCAGCAGGGGGCGCUCAGGACCCACAGAUUUUGUGUUGCAGCCCCAGGAGCAGUUGGAGCUGCUGUUUAUGGCUGUUUACUCAGGAUUCUGGGUUUCCUCUCCACAUAA